RNAcentral lists this ribosomal RNA (398 nucleotides) under uncultured haloarchaeon. RNAcentral's name for it is "bacterial SSU rRNA". It matches the Rfam family "Archaeal small subunit ribosomal RNA", at positions 129 to 526 of the family's 1478-position model. Lineage: Archaea; Methanobacteriati; Methanobacteriota; Halobacteria; Halobacteriales; Halobacteriaceae. The record is from RNAcentral.
CCCUCUCGAAACUGAGGCUAAUCCGUCAUACCCCUCUCACGCUCGACUGCCGAGAGGUCAAAACGCUCAGGCGCUGUGGGAUGAGGCUGCGGCCGAUUAGGUAGACGGUGGGGUAACGGCCCACCGUGCCCAUAAUCGGUACGGGUCGUGAAAGCGAGAGCCCGGAGACGGAAUCUGAGACAAGAUUCCGGGCCCUACGGGGCGCAGCAGGCGCGAAACCUUUACACUGCACGCCAGUGCGAUAAGGGGACUCCAAGUGCGAGGGCAUAUCGUCCUCGCUAUUCUGUACCGUAGGGUGGUACAGGACCAAGGGCUGGGCAAGACCGGUGCCAGCCGCCGCGGUAAUACCGGCAGCCCAAGUGAUGGCCACUCUUAUUGGGCCUAAAGCGUCCGUAGCC